CUCCAUUGCCUGUUUGUUCAUUAACUGCCACUGGUAGCUUUUCUUCCAAUUCAGCCAGGCGCUCAUGUGCUUCCUGCCAAUCAUCAUCAACUGCACCUGACCCAAAUGUAUCAUCAUUGAAUUGAUCAAUCUCUUCAUCUUCUUCUCCCAGUCCCUGAAAUGCAUCUUCAUCUUCAUCCAGAGGACAAUCCUCCAAAGACUCGUAGCGGAACAUUCUUGGGGAGGGGGGCAGGGAGCGGG
This 240-nucleotide long non-coding RNA is filed under the name Homo sapiens (human). RNAcentral's name for it is "LNC_000617". The record is from RNAcentral. Lineage: Eukaryota; Metazoa; Chordata; Mammalia; Primates; Hominidae.